GACGAACGCUGGCGGCGUGCUUAACACAUGCAAGUCGAACGGUAAGGCCCUUCGGGGUACACGAGUGGCGAACGGGUGAGUAACACGUGGGUGAUCUGCCCUGCACUUCGGGAUAAGCCUGGGAAACUGGGUCUAAUACCGGAUAGGACCCUGGGAUGCAUGUCCUGGGGUGGAAAGCUUUUGCGGUGUGGGAUGGGCCGGCGGCCUAUCAGGUUGUUGGGGGGGUGAUGGCCUACCAAGGCGACGACGGGUAGCCGGCCUGAGAGGGUGACCGGCCACACUGGGACUGAGAUACGGCCCAGACUCCUACGGGAGGCAGCAGUGGGGAAUAUUGCACAAUGGGCGCAAGCCUGAUGCAGCGACGCCGCGUGAGGGAUGACGGCCUUCGGGUUGUAAACCUCUUUCAGCACCGACGAAGCGCAAGUGACGGUAGGUGCAGAAGAAGGACCGGCCAACUACGUGCCAGCCGCCGCCGUAA
RNAcentral lists this ribosomal RNA (478 nucleotides) under uncultured bacterium. Its description in RNAcentral is "partial 16S ribosomal RNA". It matches the Rfam family "Bacterial small subunit ribosomal RNA", at positions 28 to 523 of the family's 1533-position model. The record is from RNAcentral.